This 76-nucleotide transfer RNA is filed under the name Myxococcales bacterium. Its description in RNAcentral is "tRNA-Arg". It matches the Rfam family "tRNA". Rfam says of the family: Transfer RNA (tRNA) molecules are approximately 80 nucleotides in length. Their secondary structure includes four short double-helical elements and three loops (D, anti-codon, and T loops). Lineage: Bacteria; Pseudomonadati; Myxococcota; Myxococcia; Myxococcales. The record is from RNAcentral. RNAcentral also lists the same sequence under 1 other name.
GCCCCCGUAGCUCAGGGGAUAGAGCAGCGGUUUCCUAAACCGUUGGUCGGACGUUCGAUUCGUCUCGGGGGCGCCA